ACGGGAGGCAGCAGUGGGGAAUAUUGGGCAAUGGGCGAAAGCCUGACCCAGCGACGCCGCGUGAGGGAAGAAGAUCUUCGGAUUGUAAACCUUAGUCAACAGGGAAGAAGAAAGUGACGGUACCUGUGGAGGAAGCCACGGCUAACUACGUGCCAGCAGCCGCGGUAAUACGUAGGUGGCGAGCGUUAUCCGGAUUUACUGGGUGUAAAGGGUGUGCAGGCGGGUCUGCAAGUCAGAUGUGAAAAUUAUGGGCUUAACUCAUAACUUGCAUUUGAAACUGCAGAUCUUGAGUGUCGGAGAGGUAGAUGGAAUUCCCAGUGUAGCGGUGAAAUGCGUAGAUAUUGGGAGGAACACCAGUGGCGAAGGCGGUCUACUGGACGAUUACUGACGCUGAGACACGAAAGUGUGGGGAGCAAACAGGAUUAGAUACCCUGGUA
The sequence is a ribosomal RNA, 437 nucleotides long. It matches the Rfam family "Bacterial small subunit ribosomal RNA", at positions 341 to 792 of the family's 1533-position model.